This 114-nucleotide ribosomal RNA is filed under the name Labrus bergylta (ballan wrasse). Lineage: Eukaryota; Metazoa; Chordata; Actinopteri; Labriformes; Labridae. The record is from RNAcentral.
GCUUACGCCAUACCACCCUGAACACGCCCGAUCUCGUCGAUCUCGAAGCUAAGCAGGGUCGGGCCUGGUAGUACUUGGAUGGGAGACCGCUGGGAAUACCAGGUGCUGUAAGCU